GCUGCGCGGCCAUCUCAAGGCCGAAGGUCAGGAAGAGACCGGAUCGCAAUCCUACGUGCCGCCGGAUGCGAAGGACGACAAGGCGCUGAAGAUGGCUGCGGACCUCCUGCACGGCAUCAAGCAGACCACCUCGGCUCCUGCUCCGACCGACAAGGCCACCAACAAGGCCGCGAACUAAAGCGCAGGCGAACAUAUCAAUUCGAUCAGGGCGGCCUUCCGGGCCGCCCUUUUU
Molecule: unclassified non-coding RNA, 232 nt
Filed under: Hevea brasiliensis (rubber tree)
Lineage: Eukaryota; Viridiplantae; Streptophyta; Magnoliopsida; Malpighiales; Euphorbiaceae
Source: RNAcentral